UGUAAGAAAUGUUCCAACAUU
This 21-nucleotide non-coding RNA is filed under the name Caenorhabditis elegans. The record is from RNAcentral. Lineage: Eukaryota; Metazoa; Nematoda; Chromadorea; Rhabditida; Rhabditidae.